RNAcentral lists this ribosomal RNA (449 nucleotides) under uncultured bacterium. RNAcentral describes it as "partial 16S ribosomal RNA". It matches the Rfam family "Bacterial small subunit ribosomal RNA", at positions 29 to 523 of the family's 1533-position model. The record is from RNAcentral.
AACGAACGCUGGCGGCAGGCCUAACACAUGCAAGUCGAGCGAAGCCUUCGGGCUUAGCGGCGGACGGGUGAGUAACGCGUGGGAACGUGCCCUUUGCUACGGAAUAGCCCCGGGAAACUGGGAGUAAUACCGUAUGUGCCCUUCGGGGGAAAGAUUUAUCGGCAAAGGAUCGGCCCGCGUUGGAUUAGGUAGUUGGUGGGGUAAUGGCCUACCAAGCCGACGAUCCAUAGCUGGUUUGAGAGGAUGAUCAGCCACACUGGGACUGAGACACGGCCCAGACUCCUACGGGAGGCAGCAGUGGGGAAUCUUAGACAAUGGGGGAAACCCUGAUCUAGCCAUGCCGCGUGAUCGAUGAAGGCCUUAGGGUUGUAAAGAUCUUUCAGUGGGGAAGAUAAUGACUGUACCCACAGAAGAAGCCCCGGCUAACUCCGUGCCAGCCGCCGCAGUAA